Non-coding RNA from Colletotrichum fioriniae, 83 nucleotides. NCBI's taxonomy places the organism in Eukaryota, Fungi, Ascomycota, Sordariomycetes, Glomerellales, Glomerellaceae. The record is from the annotation of a RefSeq genome assembly.
GGCCGGUUGGCCCAAUGGCAAGGCGUCUGACUACGAUUGAAAAUGUUAUCAGGAGAUUCUGGGUUCGACCCCCAGGCUGGUCA